This 594-nucleotide ribosomal RNA is filed under the name Aspergillus fumigatus. RNAcentral's name for it is "eukaryotic LSU rRNA". It matches the Rfam family "Eukaryotic large subunit ribosomal RNA", at positions 39 to 648 of the family's 3401-position model. Lineage: Eukaryota; Fungi; Ascomycota; Eurotiomycetes; Eurotiales; Aspergillaceae. The record is from RNAcentral.
CAUAUCAAUAAGCGGAGGAAAAGAAACCAACAGGGAUUGCCUCAGUAACGGCGAGUGAAGCGGCAAGAGCUCAAAUUUGAAAGCUGGCCCCUUCGGGGUCCGCGUUGUAAUUUGCAGAGGAUGCUUCGGGUGCAGCCCCCGUCUAAGUGCCCUGGAACGGGCCGUCAUAGAGGGUGAGAAUCCCGUCUGGGACGGGGUGUCUGCGUCCGUGUGAAGCUCCUUCGACGAGUCGAGUUGUUUGGGAAUGCAGCUCUAAAUGGGUGGUAAAUUUCAUCUAAAGCUAAAUACUGGCCGGAGACCGAUAGCGCACAAGUAGAGUGAUCGAAAGAUGAAAAGCACUUUGAAAAGAGAGUUAAACAGCACGUGAAAUUGUUGAAAGGGAAGCGUUUGCGACCAGACUCGCCCGCGGGGUUCAGCCGGCAUUCGUGCCGGUGUACUUCCCCGUGGGCGGGCCAGCGUCGGUUUGGGCGGCCGGUCAAAGGCCCUCGGAAUGUAUCACCUCUCGGGGUGUCUUAUAGCCGAGGGUGCAAUGCGGCCUGCCUGGACCGAGGAACGCGCUUCGGCUCGGACGCUGGCGUAAUGGUCGUAAAUGAC